This 253-nucleotide ribosomal RNA is filed under the name uncultured bacterium. RNAcentral describes it as "partial 16S ribosomal RNA". It matches the Rfam family "Bacterial small subunit ribosomal RNA", at positions 524 to 776 of the family's 1533-position model. The record is from RNAcentral.
UACGAAGGGGGCUAGCGUUGUUCGGAAUUACUGGGCGUAAAGCGCACGUAGGCGGACUAUUAAGUCAGGGGUGAAAUCCCGGGGCUCAACCCCGGAACUGCCUUUGAUACUGGUAGUCUCGAGUCCGGAAGAGGUGAGUGGAAUUCCGAGUGUAGAGGUGAAAUUCGUAGAUAUUCGGAGGAACACCAGUGGCGAAGGCGGCUCACUGGUCCGGUACUGACGCUGAGGUGCGAAAGCGUGGCGAGCAAACAGG